Molecule: long non-coding RNA, 659 nt
Organism: Oncorhynchus tshawytscha (Chinook salmon)
Lineage: Eukaryota; Metazoa; Chordata; Actinopteri; Salmoniformes; Salmonidae
Source: Ensembl
UGUGUAUAAGGUGUGUGUAUUGGGUGUGUAUAUAGGGUGUGUGUAUAGGGUGUGUGUAUAGGGUGUGUGUAUAGGGUGUGUAUAUAGGGUGUGUGUAUAGGCUGUGUGUAUAGGGUGUGUAUAUAGGGUGUGUGUAUAGGGUGUGUGUAUAGGGUGUGUAUAUAGGGGUGUGUAUAGGGUGUGUGUAUAGGGUGUGUAUAUAGGGUGUGUAUAUAGGGUGUGUGUAUUGGGUGUGUGUAUAGGGUGUGUGUAUUGGGUGUGUAUAUAGGGUGUGUGUAUAGGGUGUGUGUAUAGGGUGUGUGUAUAGGGUGUGUAUAGGGUGUGUGUAUAGGGUGUGUGUAUAGGGUGUGUGUAUAGGGUGUGUAUAUAGGGUGUGUAUAUUGGGUGUGUGUAUAAGGUGUGUGUAUUGGGUGUGUAUAUAGGGUGUGUGUAUAGGGUGUGUGUAUAGGGUGUGUAUAUAGGGUGUGUGUAUAGGGUGUGUGUAUAGGGUGUGUAUAUAGGGUGUGUGUAUAAGGUGUGUGUAUUGGGUGUGUAUAUAGGGUGUGUGUAUAGGGUGUGUGUAUAGGGUGUGUAUAUAGGGUGUGUGUAUAGGGUGUGUGUAUAGGGUGUGUAUAUAGGGUGUGUGUAUAGGGUGUGUGUAUAGGGUGUGUGUAUAGGGU